UCAGGGAUAAAUGCAUUUCUGGACAAAAGU
This 30-nucleotide non-coding RNA is filed under the name Rattus norvegicus (Norway rat). The record is from RNAcentral. Lineage: Eukaryota; Metazoa; Chordata; Mammalia; Rodentia; Muridae.